This 348-nucleotide ribosomal RNA is filed under the name uncultured Anoxybacillus sp. RNAcentral's name for it is "bacterial SSU rRNA". It matches the Rfam family "Bacterial small subunit ribosomal RNA", at positions 1032 to 1382 of the family's 1533-position model. The record is from RNAcentral. Lineage: Bacteria; Bacillati; Bacillota; Bacilli; Caryophanales; Anoxybacillaceae.
UGACAGGUGGUGCAUGGUUGUCGUCAGCUCGUGUCGUGAGAUGUUGGGUUAAGUCCCGCAACGAGCGCAACCCUCGACCUUAGUUGCCAGCAUUCAGUUGGGCACUCUAAGGUGACUGCCGGCUAAAAGUCGGAGGAAGUGGGGAUGACGUCAAAUCAUCAUGCCCCUUAUGACCUGGGCUACACACGUGCUACAAUGGGCGGUACAAAGGGUCGCGAACCCGCGAGGGGGAGCCAAUCCCAAAAAGCCGCUCUCAGUUCGGAUUGCAGGCUGCAACUCGCCUGCAUGAAGCCGGAAUCGCUAGUAAUCGCGGAUCAGCAUGCCGCGGUGAAUACGUUCCCGGGCCUU